RNAcentral lists this ribosomal RNA (330 nucleotides) under Triticum aestivum (bread wheat). RNAcentral describes it as "partial small subunit ribosomal RNA". Lineage: Eukaryota; Viridiplantae; Streptophyta; Magnoliopsida; Poales; Poaceae. The record is from RNAcentral.
AUGGCCCUCAAUCUACCAAUAUGGUUCUUCAAGUGCAUCGACAAACUAAGAAGAAGCUUCUUUUGGCGAGGGGUGGAGGACGCCAAGGGGGGAUGCUGCCAUGUGGCAUGGCAUGUCGUCUGCUCCCCCAAGCCGUACGGGGGGUUGGGUGUCCUCAAUCUGCGGCUUCUGAAUCAAUCCCUACACCUGCGCUGGCUCUGGCUACAGAAGACGGCGUUGGACAAAACCUGGAACGUCUUGGAGGUCUGCGUCUCAGACAAGGCUGCGGGCCUGGGUCUCGCGGCACUCACUACAAAAAAAGACACAUCCGUGACAUUUUGGGCCGAAUGA